UUAAUGUCUUGUAAUUGGAAUGAUGGGAAUUUAAACCUCUUCCAGAGUAUCAAUUGGAGGGCAAGUCUGGUGCCAGCAGCCGCGGUAAUUUCCAGCUUCCAAUAGCGUAUAUUAAAAUUGUUGCAGUUAAAAAGCUCGUAGUUGAAUUUCUGCUGCAUUACAUAUCUCUUGUUUGAGUUUGUUUUUGUGGCUUAUUUCGGUUUGAUUUUUUCUUUCCGGAUGAUUACUUUGAGAAAAUUAGAGUGCUCAAAGCAGGCUUUUGCCUUGAAUAGUUUAGCAUGGAAUAAUAAAGUAGGACUUUGGUUCUAUUUUGUUGGUUUUAGGUACCAAAGUAAUGGUUAAUAGGAACAGUUGGGGGCAUUCGUAUUUA
Molecule: ribosomal RNA, 370 nt
Filed under: Theileria orientalis
Lineage: Eukaryota; Apicomplexa; Aconoidasida; Piroplasmida; Theileriidae
Description: SSU rRNA
Rfam family: Eukaryotic small subunit ribosomal RNA
Source: RNAcentral